CUAAGUCCCCAGGCUCCUGGCCUCUGCCCUCUCUUUAGGAAUGCUAUUUUAAUUCUUUACCUGACUUCGGAAUUCAAGAAGAACACCUUCAAGCAGAAAAUCUUCUAUAGCAAUGUACCAUUACCGGUCCAGGUGUCCUACCUGUCCGGUGUGGAACCCAGAGUGAAAGCAUCAAGGAAUUUAGAACCGCAAGAAUUUGUGGAAUACCAGCCACUUAUCAGCAAUCCUCUUCCUAA
This is a long non-coding RNA of Ailuropoda melanoleuca (giant panda), 236 nucleotides long. RefSeq lists it as uncharacterized. NCBI's taxonomy places the organism in Eukaryota, Metazoa, Chordata, Mammalia, Carnivora, Ursidae. The record is from RefSeq and is a predicted model, not a curated record. The transcript is spliced from 3 exons.